CCUACGGGAGGCAGCAGUGAGGAAUAUUGGACAAUGGGCGCAAGCCUGAUCCAGCCAUGCCGCGUGCAGGAUGACGGUCCUAUGGAUUGUAAACUGCUUUUGCACAGGAAGAAACAACGCUACGUGUAGCGUCUUGACGGUACUGUGAGAAUAAGGAUCGGCUAACUCCGUGCCAGCAGCCGCGGUAAUACGGAGGAUCCAAGCGUUAUCCGGAAUCAUUGGGUUUAAAGGGUCCGUAGGCGGUUUAGUAAGUCAGUGGUGAAAGCCCAUCGCUCAACGGUGGAACGGCCAUUGAUACUGCUAGACUUGAAUUAUUAGGAAGUAACUAGAAUAUGUAGUGUAGCGGUGAAAUGCUUAGAGAUUACAUGGAAUACCAAUUGCGAAGGCAGGUUACUACUAAUUGAUUGACGCUGAUGGACGAAAGCGUGGGUAGCGAACAGGAUUAGAUACCCUGGUAGUCCACGCCGUAAACGAUGGAUACUAGCUGUUGGGAGCAAUUUCAGUGGCUAAGCGAAAGUGAUAAGUAUCCCACCUGGGGAGUACGUCCGCAAGAAUGAAACUCAAAGGAUUGACGGCUGAGACGNGCGAGGACGACGACGAGGGAGGAGG
RNAcentral lists this ribosomal RNA (609 nucleotides) under uncultured bacterium. Its description in RNAcentral is "bacterial SSU rRNA". It matches the Rfam family "Bacterial small subunit ribosomal RNA", at positions 338 to 951 of the family's 1533-position model. The record is from RNAcentral.